This 165-nucleotide small nuclear RNA is filed under the name Echinops telfairi (small Madagascar hedgehog). Its description in RNAcentral is "U1 spliceosomal RNA (ENSETEG00000022826.1)". It matches the Rfam family "U1 spliceosomal RNA". From Rfam's summary of the family: U1 is a small nuclear RNA (snRNA) component of the spliceosome (involved in pre-mRNA splicing). Its 5' end forms complementary base pairs with the 5' splice junction, thus defining the 5' donor site of an intron. The record is from RNAcentral. Lineage: Eukaryota; Metazoa; Chordata; Mammalia; Afrosoricida; Tenrecidae.
AACCCUGUCUAACACAGGGAGAUACCAUGAUCACGAAGGUGGUUUUCCCAGGGCGAGGCUUAUCCAUUGCACUCCGGAUGUGCUGACUCCUGCGAUUUCCCCAAAUGUGGGAAACUCGACUGCAUGAUUUGUGGUAGUGGGGGACUGCGUUCACGCUCUCCCCUU